Molecule: ribosomal RNA, 961 nt
Filed under: Bunostomum phlebotomum (cattle hookworm)
Lineage: Eukaryota; Metazoa; Nematoda; Chromadorea; Rhabditida; Ancylostomatidae
Description: 16S ribosomal RNA
Source: RNAcentral
UUAAAUUUAUUUUUUUAUUAUUUGAUAUUGCAUAUCAUUAAAAAAGAAUUUUAUGGUUAAUAAAAAAUAGAAUAAAAAGGUAGAGGUUUUAUUUUUUUUAUUGUUUUAUAAAUAAAAAUUAUGAAAUUUAGGGUUGAAAAGUCGACUUUUUAGAUAUCUGUUUUUUUUUAGUUUAAUUAGAAAUUUAUUAAUUUUAAUUAUAUAUUUUUAUAAAAUUUAAAAUUUAAAGUGUUUUUGUUUUUAGUUUUAUAACUAUUUAUAAUAUGUAUUUUUUGUUUUUUGUUUUGCUUAAUAAAAUUUUAUUAAGUUUAUUAUUUUUAAAUUAGUAGAUUUUUUAAUUUUAUUAUUAAUUAAAAUAUAAAUAAAGAAUUAAAAGUUUAAUCAAAUGUUUUUUAAAGACUUAGAUUUUUUAAUAAAGUUUGCUUCUGCCCAAUGAUGUAUUAUUAAAUGGCAGUCUUAGCGUGAGGACAUUAAGGUAGCAAAAUAAUUUGUGCCUUUAUUAGGUUCCAGUAUGAAUGAAGUUAUUGGUUAAUUAUUUUUUAUUUUUUUUUUUGAAUUUUUUAUUAAUAUAAAAAAUUUUUAUUGUAAUUAUACAAAGAUAAGUCUUCGGAAAUUCUUUUUAAAUUUAAUUUUUUUGAUUAUUUUUAAAAUUUUCUAGGGCAGAAUUUUAUAUAAUUAUUUAUAUCUAUUAAUAAAUUUUUGAAUUACUCCGGAGUUAACAGAAAAUCAUACCUAAUUUAGAUCUUAUAAUAAGGUAAGUUUUACAUCGAUGUUGUAUUUAAGUAUGUUAAAGAAGGAGAAGAUUUAAUUUUUGAGACUGUUCUUCUUUUAUUUAACUUAACGUGAUAUUAGUUUAAUUCAUUGUGAGAUAGAAUUGUUUAUCUUGUUAAUUACUUUUUUUUAGUUUUAAUAGUACGAAAGGAAAAUUAAAAAAAGUUUUAAACUUUAUUGGUUAUACCAA